UUCUAGCCGCGAUAGUAGCGGCAUCCUUUUUAAAAUUGUUGCCUGAGGCUCUCGAAGGCAAUAAUUUUAAAAAGAUAUAGCGGAUAGCGGGACAAAAA
RNAcentral lists this small RNA (98 nucleotides) under Flavobacterium terrigena. RNAcentral's name for it is "Flavo-1 RNA". It matches the Rfam family "Flavo-1 RNA". The record is from RNAcentral. Lineage: Bacteria; Pseudomonadati; Bacteroidota; Flavobacteriia; Flavobacteriales; Flavobacteriaceae.